AAUUAGAACACAGCAUUUAUCAUUGCUGUGAUGUGUUAUAGCCAGUACUUUUUAAAAGGGCACAUAGUACCUAGCAUUACUCAACUUUGUAUCCUAAUUUGCUUAUUGUGCCUCUGCCUUAAAGCUCGGAGGAGAAUCCACACUAUCGGAGAAGGAUGCAGCAAGUGUCCAGGAAUUGGCCUACGCCUGGGACCUUCCAUCCAUAACUGAGAUGGAUUUUUGAGAAGUUAUUGAUCCAUGCUGUUAUCGGCCGUGUCACAAGACAAAUAAAACAGCUCAGGCGAGGUCUCAAAGAAACCCCAAUGUGGACAGUACUGACCCAACGACCUGACACAGUGGACAGGCUUCUCCCAAAAGAGGGAUCUGGGAAUAUAAACCCUGAGGUACUUCUUCAGCGAAUCACUUGGCCCCGUGAGGACGACGAAGACGCAGAUUAUUCAGUCGCUACGAUAUGCUGCAUUACAGGCUAUCUUCAACAGUUCA
Gadus morhua (Atlantic cod) is the source of this 483-nucleotide long non-coding RNA. RefSeq lists it as uncharacterized. The transcript has 3 exons. Lineage: Eukaryota; Metazoa; Chordata; Actinopteri; Gadiformes; Gadidae. The record is from RefSeq and is a predicted model, not a curated record.